CCCGCCUCCGGGGAAACCCCUCCCUGCCCGCGGCCCCCCCCGGCCCUUUGUGCCUGGAGAAGGAAGGGAAAAGGAUAUUUCCCAAUUCUUUCCUUUAUUUUUAUGCCCUUUAUUUUAUGUUAUUUUUCUUUUGUCGUUCCUCCCUGCCCCGCCGGGCACAGCAGGCCCACGCACGUCCACUGCGCGGAGCCGAGAUGAGCGAUUUGAGGCUCUGCUGGUGAACUUGCAGGAAAGAAAAGGCAAGAAAAAUUGUGUGCUUCCAACAAACGACAAGCAGAUUCCUAUGGCGUGGCAGCUGAGCAAGAAACGGUUGCACCGACUGGGUGCUGCGGGACAGGCAUCCUGACUGCACGUCCUUGCAUUUCCCGUACAAAGCAGCCCCUUGCAGAAGCGCUGGGCCCCAGCAGCUCCUCCUCAAGCUUUCCUCAGGCCCGGCUGGGAUCCCUUCUGGGGGAAAUGCCGUUUUAAACACGAGGCUUCUCUUCCCUUCUCAAAGUAAAACCCGUACAGAGAUUAAUAGUCCUCCUUCCCUUUGGUGGAUGACAGCUCAUUUCAGAUCAGUGGGGAACAUCUCUGCCUUGAAAGUAUCACUUCUUAAUUUAACCCAAUCUCUGUUACUCUCAGAUAUAUGGUGUGAUUUGGGGGUGGUUCUCUGCAGAGCUAGGAAUUGGAUUAGAUGACCCUCAUGGGUCCUUUCCAACUUGGGAUAGUCUGUGAUUAUGUGAUUUUAGAAGAUUCCCCAGAGACAACAACAAUAAAUAAAUAAAUAAAUAAAUAAAUAGCUCUUAUUCUUGGUGACAGUGCUUCCUUUGACAGAUGGAAAAUCAAAAAAAAAAAAAAAAAAACAGCAAAGCACAA
Molecule: long non-coding RNA, 858 nt
Organism: Tympanuchus pallidicinctus (lesser prairie-chicken)
Lineage: Eukaryota; Metazoa; Chordata; Aves; Galliformes; Phasianidae
Exons: 2
Source: RefSeq, a predicted model, not a curated record